RNAcentral lists this ribosomal RNA (3110 nucleotides) under Salmonella enterica subsp. enterica. RNAcentral describes it as "bacterial LSU rRNA". It matches the Rfam family "Bacterial large subunit ribosomal RNA". The record is from RNAcentral. Lineage: Bacteria; Pseudomonadati; Pseudomonadota; Gammaproteobacteria; Enterobacterales; Enterobacteriaceae. RNAcentral also lists the same sequence under 1 other name.
GGGUUGUGAGGUUAAGCGACUAAGCGUACACGGUGGAUGCCCUGGCAGUCAGAGGCGAUGAAGGGCGUGCUAAUCUGCGAUAAGCGCCGGUAAGGUGAUAUGAACCGUUAUAACCGGCGAUACCCGAAUGGGGAAACCCAGUGUGACUCGUCACACUAUCAUUAACUGAAUCCAUAGGUUAAUGAGGCGAACCGGGGGAACUGAAACAUCUAAGUACCCCGAGGAAAAGAAAUCAACCGAGAUUCCCCCAGUAGCGGCGAGCGAACGGGGAGGAGCCCAGAGCCUGAAUCAGCAUGUGUGUUAGUGGAAGCGUCUGGAAAGGCGCGCGAUACAGGGUGACAGCCCCGUACACAAAAGCGCAUGUGCUGUGAGCUCGAUGAGUAGGGCGGGACACGUGGUAUCCUGUCUGAAUAUGGGGGACCAUCCUCCAAGGCUAAAUACUCCUGACUGACCGAUAGUGAACCAGUACCGUGAGGGAAAGGCGAAAAGAACCCCGGCGAGGGGAGUGAAAAAGAACCUGAAACCGUGUACGUACAAGCAGUGGGAGCCCCACCACUAAGCCAGUGGUGAACUCCACAUCCGCAUCCUUUGCUGAGGAUACGGUUAACGGAGCGAAAGCGACGUUCAACCGCAAAACAAGCAGAGGGGGCUUAGUGGUGGGGUGACUGCGUACCUUUUGUAUAAUGGGUCAGCGACUUAUAUUCUGUAGCAAGGUUAACCGUAUAGGGGAGCCGGAGGGAAACCGAGUCUUAAUUGGGCGUUAAGUUGCAGGGUAUAGACCCGAAACCCGGUGAUCUAGCCAUGGGCAGGUUGAAGGUUGGGUAACACUAACUGGAGGACCGAACCGACUAAUGUUGAAAAAUUAGCGGAUGACCUGUGGCUGGGGGUGAAAGGCCAAUCAAACCGGGAGAUAGCUGGUUCUCCCCGAAAGCUAUUUAGGUAGCGCCUCGUGAAUUCAUCUCCGGGGGUAGAGCACUGUUUCGGCUAGGGGGCCAUCCCGGCUUACCAACCCGAUGCAAACUGCGAAUACCGGAGAAUGUUAUCACGGGAGACACACGGCGGGUGCUAACGUCCGUCGUGAAGAGGGAAACAACCCAGACCGCCAGCUAAGGUCCCAAAGUCAUGGUUAAGUGGGAAACGAUGUGGGAAGGCCCAGACAGCCAGGAUGUUGGCUUAGAAGCAGCCAUCAUUUAAAGAAAGCGUAAUAGCUCACUGGUCGAGUCGGCCUGCGCGGAAGAUGUAACGGGGCUAAACCAUGCACCGAAGCUGCGGCAGCGAACGUAUCACCCAAGACAACUUUACGGAGUUGACGAUUGACGGAGCGAAGCGACGUCAAAGCGUUCAUUAAAGUCGAGUUGGCUUAGGGAUACGUUCGUUGGGUAGGGGAGCGUUCUGUAAGCCUGUGAAGGUGUGUCGUGAGGCAUGCUGGAGGUAUCAGAAGUGCGAAUGCUGACAUAAGUAACGAUAAAGCGGGUGAAAAGCCCGCUCGCCGGAAGACCAAGGGUUCCUGUCCAACGUUAAUCGGGGCAGGGUGAGUCGACCCCUAAGGCGAGGCCGAAAGGCGUAGUCGAUGGGAAACGGGUUAAUAUUCCCGUACUUGGUGUUACUGCGAAGGGGGACGGAGAAGGCUAUGUUGGCCGGGCGACGGUUGUCCCGGUUUAAGCGUGUAGGUGUGUGUUCCAGGUAAAUCCGGUUCACUUUAACACUGAGGCGUGACGACGAGGCACUACGGUGCUGAAGCAACAAAUGCCCUGCUUCCAGGAAAAGCCUCUAAGCAUCAGGUAACACGAAAUCGUACCCCAAACCGACACAGGUGGUCAGGUAGAGAAUACCAAGGCGCUUGAGAGAACUCGGGUGAAGGAACUAGGCAAAAUGGUGCCGUAACUUCGGGAGAAGGCACGCUGACACGUAGGUGAAGUGAUUUACUCAUGGAGCUGAAGUCAGUCGAAGAUACCAGCUGGCUGCAACUGUUUAUUAAAAACACAGCACUGUGCAAACACGAAAGUGGACGUAUACGGUGUGACGCCUGCCCGGUGCCGGAAGGUUAAUUGAUGGGGUCAGCGUAAGCGAAGCUCCUGAUCGAAGCCCCGGUAAACGGCGGCCGUAACUAUAACGGUCCUAAGGUAGCGAAAUUCCUUGUCGGGUAAGUUCCGACCUGCACGAAUGGCGUAAUGAUGGCCAGGCUGUCUCCACCCGAGACUCAGUGAAAUUGAACUCGCUGUGAAGAUGCAGUGUACCCGCGGCAAGACGGAAAGACCCCGUGAACCUUUACUAUAGCUUGACACUGAACAUUGAGCCUUGAUGUGUAGGAUAGGUGGGAGGCUUUGAAGUGUGGACGCCAGUCUGCAUGGAGCCGACCUUGAAAUACCACCCUUUAAUGUUUGAUGUUCUAACGUGGACCCGUAAUCCGGGUUGCGGACAGUGUCUGGUGGGUAGUUUGACUGGGGCGGUCUCCUCCUAAAGAGUAACGGAGGAGCACGAAGGUUGGCUAAUCCUGGUCGGACAUCAGGAGGUUAGUGCAAUGGCAUAAGCCAGCUUGACUGCGAGCGUGACGGCGCGAGCAGGUGCGAAAGCAGGUCAUAGUGAUCCGGUGGUUCUGAAUGGAAGGGCCAUCGCUCAACGGAUAAAAGGUACUCCGGGGAUAACAGGCUGAUACCGCCCAAGAGUUCAUAUCGACGGCGGUGUUUGGCACCUCGAUGUCGGCUCAUCACAUCCUGGGGCUGAAGUAGGUCCCAAGGGUAUGGCUGUUCGCCAUUUAAAGUGGUACGCGAGCUGGGUUUAGAACGUCGUGAGACAGUUCGGUCCCUAUCUGCCGUGGGCGCUGGAGAACUGAGGGGGGCUGCUCCUAGUACGAGAGGACCGGAGUGGACGCAUCACUGGUGUUCGGGUUGUCAUGCCAAUGGCACUGCCCGGUAGCUAAAUGCGGAAGAGAUAAGUGCUGAAAGCAUCUAAGCACGAAACUUGCCCCGAGAUGAGUUCUCCCUGAGACUUAGAGUCUCCUGAAGGAACGUUGAAGACGACGACGUUGAUAGGCCGGGUGUGUAAGCGCAGCGAUGCGUUGAGCUAACCGGUACUAAUGAACCGUGAGGCUUAACCUUACAACGCCGAAG